UAAAGUCUGGCCUGCCCACUGAUUUAUUUAAAGGGCCGCGGUAAUUUGACCGUGCGAAGGUAGCAUAGUCAGUAGUCUUUUAAUUGGAGGCUUGAAUGAAUGGUUGGACGAGGGAUAAACUGUCUCCUUAGCGGCGUUUGAAUUUAACUUUUGAGUGAAAAGGCUCAAAUUGUUUAGGG
This 179-nucleotide ribosomal RNA is filed under the name Macrobrachium rosenbergii (giant freshwater prawn). RNAcentral's name for it is "partial 16S ribosomal RNA". It matches the Rfam family "Archaeal large subunit ribosomal RNA", at positions 1940 to 2154 of the family's 2987-position model. The record is from RNAcentral. Lineage: Eukaryota; Metazoa; Arthropoda; Malacostraca; Decapoda; Palaemonidae.